Molecule: ribosomal RNA, 707 nt
Filed under: Mycobacterium sp. L1885
Lineage: Bacteria; Bacillati; Actinomycetota; Actinomycetes; Mycobacteriales; Mycobacteriaceae
Description: bacterial SSU rRNA
Rfam family: Bacterial small subunit ribosomal RNA
Source: RNAcentral
UCAGGACGAACGCUGGCGGCGUGCUUAACACAUGCAAGUCGAACGGAAAGGCCCUUUCGGGGGUACUCGAGUGGCGAACGGGUGAGUAACACGUGGGUGAUCUGCCCUGCACUUUGGGAUAAGCCUGGGAAACUGGGUCUAAUACCGAAUACACCUUGCUGGCUGCAUGGCCUGGUGGGGGAAAGCUUUUGCGGUGUGGGAUGGGCCCGCGGCCUAUCAGCUUGUUGGUGGGGUGAUGGCCUACCAAGGCGACGACGGGUAGCCGGCCUGAGAGGGUGUCCGGCCACACUGGGACUGAGAUACGGCCCAGACUCCUACGGGAGGCAGCAGUGGGGAAUAUUGCACAAUGGGCGCAAGCCUGAUGCAGCGACGCCGCGUGAGGGAUGACGGCCUUCGGGUUGUAAACCUCUUUCAGUAUCGACGAAGCGCAAGUGACGGUAGGUACAGAAGAAGCACCGGCCAACUACGUGCCAGCAGCCGCGGUAAUACGUAGGGUGCGAGCGUUGUCCGGAAUUACUGGGCGUAAAGAGCUCGUAGGUGGUUUGUCGCGUUGUUCGUGAAAACUCACAGCUCAACUGUGGGCGUGCGGGCGAUACGGGCAGACUGGAGUACUGCAGGGGAGACUGGAAUUCCUGGUGUAGCGGUGGAAUGCGCAGAUAUCAGGAGGAACACCGGUGGCGAAGGCGGGUCUCUGGGCAGUAACUGAC